GGGCCAGUAGAUCAGUCUGGUAGAUCGCAGCGUUCGCAACGCUGAAGUCGCGGGAUCGAGGCCCGCCUGGUCCA
This 74-nucleotide transfer RNA is filed under the name Promethearchaeota archaeon. RNAcentral describes it as "Candidatus Lokiarchaeota archaeon (marine sediment metagenome) tRNA-Ala". It matches the Rfam family "tRNA". Rfam says of the family: Transfer RNA (tRNA) molecules are approximately 80 nucleotides in length. Their secondary structure includes four short double-helical elements and three loops (D, anti-codon, and T loops). Further hydrogen bonds mediate the characteristic L-shaped molecular structure. tRNAs have two regions of fundamental functional importance: the anti-codon, which is responsible for specific mRNA codon recognition, and the 3' end, to which the tRNAs corresponding amino acid is attached (by aminoacyl-tRNA synthetases). tRNAs cope with the degeneracy of the genetic code in two manners: having more than one tRNA (with a specific anti-codon) for a particular amino acid; and 'wobble' base-pairing, i.e. permitting non-standard base-pairing at the 3rd anti-codon position. RNAcentral also lists the same sequence under 1 other name. Lineage: Archaea; Promethearchaeati; Promethearchaeota. The record is from RNAcentral.